GAUGAACGCUGGCGGCGUGCCUAAUACAUGCAAGUCGAGCGAACAGACGAGGAGCUUGCUCCUCUGACGUUAGCGGCGGACGGGUGAGUAACACGUGGAUAACCUACCUAUAAGACUGGGAUAACUUCGGGAAACCGGAGCUAAUACCGGAUAAUAUAUUGAACCGCAUGGUUCAAUAGUGAAAGACGGUUUUGCUGUCACUUAUAGAUGGAUCCGCGCCGCAUUAGCUAGUUGGUAAGGUAACGGCUUACCAAGGCAACGAUGCGUAGCCGACCUGAUAGGGUGAUCGGCGACCCUGGAACUGAGACACGGUCCAGACUCAUACGGGAGGCAGCAGUAGGGAAUCUUCCGCAAUGGGCGAAAGCCUGACGGAGCAACGCCGCGUGAGUGAUGAAGGUCUUCGGAUCGUAAAACUCUGUUAUUAGGGAAGAACAAAUGUGUAAGUAACUAGGCACGUCUUGACGGUACCUAAUCAGAAAGCCACGGCUAACUACGUG
This 497-nucleotide ribosomal RNA is filed under the name uncultured bacterium. Its description in RNAcentral is "partial 16S ribosomal RNA". It matches the Rfam family "Bacterial small subunit ribosomal RNA", at positions 28 to 507 of the family's 1533-position model. The record is from RNAcentral.